CACGUAGGCGGGUUCUUAAGUCAGGGGUGAAAUCCCGAGGCUCAACCUCGGAACUGCCUUUGAUACUGGGGACCUAGAGUCCGGGAGAGGUGAGUGGAACUCCUAGUGUAGAGGUGAAAUUCGUAGAUAUUAGGAAGAACACCAGUGGCGAAGGCGGCUCACUGGCCCGGUACUGACGCUGAGGUGCGAAAGCGUGGGGAGCAAACA
RNAcentral lists this ribosomal RNA (207 nucleotides) under uncultured bacterium. RNAcentral's name for it is "partial 16S ribosomal RNA". It matches the Rfam family "Bacterial small subunit ribosomal RNA", at positions 568 to 774 of the family's 1533-position model. The record is from RNAcentral.